Long non-coding RNA from Anneissia japonica, 657 nucleotides. RefSeq lists it as uncharacterized. Lineage: Eukaryota; Metazoa; Echinodermata; Crinoidea; Comatulida; Comatulidae. The transcript has 5 exons. The record is from RefSeq and is a predicted model, not a curated record.
UGUUCAUUUGAGCACUGACUCUACACCAAUCAUGUCAAGUACACGUACCCUGCAAGUGUUGGCUGUAUUCCUGAUAGUGUGUGUUCUGGCUGAAUGUGUCUUUGCUGACGCUUUACCUGAUGAAAAUGAGCUUGUAGAGAAAAGUAGAAUUCGCCGAGACCCAGCUGUAUAUAUAUGUACAGGAAGGGGAUGUCGUCCAAAACUUAGGCACAGAGUACGUUGGAGGGGGAGGAAGAGGAAAUAUAGGAGGAAAUAUUGGAGGAAUAAGAAGAAUUAGAAGGAUGUUCAAAAUUGUGCGCUGAUCAUUUAUUAUUCGUUGAAUAAUUAAUGUGAUUGGCUGAAAGAAAGAAGAACACUACGCAUGCUCAACAAUCGUUUAUCCUGUUUGGUUACUUGUUUCAUUAUGAUUAUUAAUUAGACCUUACUAUUUAAUUCAUUAUUUAUUAUUAUUAUAAUUAUUAAAUUAAUGGUAUUAAUUUAUUGUAUUAGUCAAUUACAUACGUAAUGCAUAAUAAAUUAUAGUCUGUAUAAUUAACAUUCCAAUAAAUACAAAUAUCAAUAGUUUAUAACAUAUCUGAUGCUAAAUACAUAGUACAGUACAGUAAUUGAUAUACAAUAGAGGGGUUUUUACCUAAUAAAGGCAAUUACACGCAAUUA